RNAcentral lists this ribosomal RNA (240 nucleotides) under uncultured bacterium. Its description in RNAcentral is "partial 16S ribosomal RNA". It matches the Rfam family "Bacterial small subunit ribosomal RNA", at positions 15 to 244 of the family's 1533-position model. The record is from RNAcentral.
GAUCAUGGCUCGGGAUGAACGCUAGCUACAGGCUUAACACAUGCAAGUCGAGGGGAAACGGUAUUGGAAGCUUGCUUCCGAUAGGCGUCGACCGGCGCACGGGUGAGUAACGCGUAUCCAACCUGCCCACCACUUGGGGAUAACCUUGCGAAAGUAAGACUAAUACCCAAUGAUAUCUCUAGAAGACAUCUGAAAGAGAUUAAAGAUUUAUCGGUGAUGGAUGGGGAUGCGUCUGAUUAG